GACGAACGCUGGCGGCGUGCCUAAUACAUGCAAGUCGAGCGGACUGACUGGGAGCUUGCUCUUGUUCGGUCAGCGGCGGACGGGUGAGUAACACGUGGGCAACCUGCCCGCAAGACCGGGAUAACUCCGGGAAACCGGAGCUAAUACCGGAUAAUACCGCAGACCGCAUGGUCCUUGGUUGAUAGGCGGCGUACGCUGCCACUUGAGGAUGGGCCCGCGGCGCAUUUGCUCGUUGGGGAGGUUACGGCUCACCAAGGCGACGAUGCGUAGCCGGCCUGGGAGGGUGGCGCGCCAAACUUGGACUGGAGCACGGGCCAGACUCCUAAGGGAAGCAGCAGGAGGGGAACAUUCGCAAUGGGCGGAAGCCUUGCGGAGGGACGCCGCGUGGGGUGAGGAAGGCUUCGGGUCGUAAAGCUCUGUUGGUAGGGACGGGAGAGCGGCGGUUGAAGAAGGCGGCGCGGUGACGGUACCUCACGAGGAAGCCCCGGCUAACUACGUG
This 499-nucleotide ribosomal RNA is filed under the name uncultured bacterium. Its description in RNAcentral is "partial 16S ribosomal RNA". It matches the Rfam family "Bacterial small subunit ribosomal RNA", at positions 28 to 507 of the family's 1533-position model. The record is from RNAcentral.